RNAcentral lists this ribosomal RNA (551 nucleotides) under uncultured bacterium. Its description in RNAcentral is "partial 16S ribosomal RNA". It matches the Rfam family "Bacterial small subunit ribosomal RNA", at positions 355 to 895 of the family's 1533-position model. The record is from RNAcentral.
UGGGGAAUUUUGGACAAUGGGCGAAAGCCUGAUCCAGCAAUGCCGCGUGUGUGAAGAAGGCCUUCGGGUUGUAAAGCACUUUUUGUCCGGGAAAGAAAUCCUUGGCUCUAAUACAGUCGGGGGAUGACGGUACCGGAAGAAUAAGCACCGGCUAACUACGUGCCAGCAGCCGCGGUAAUACGUAGGGUGCAAGCGUUAAUCGGAAUUACUGGGCGUAAAGCGUGCGCAGGCGGUUUGCUAAGACCGAUGUGAAAUCCCCGGGCUCAACCUGGGAACUGCAUUGGUGACUGGCAGGCUAGAGUAUGGCAGAGGGGGGUAGAAUUCCACGUGUAGCAGUGAAAUGCGUAGAGAUGUGGAGGAAUACCGAUGGCGAAGGCAGCCCCCUGGGCCAAUACUGACGCUCAUGCACGAAAGCGUGGGGGAGCAAACAGGAUUAGAUACCCUGGUAGUCCACGCCCUAAACGAUGUCAACUAGUUGUUGGGGAUUCAUUUCCUUAGUAACGUAGCUAACGCGUGAAGUUGACCGCCUGGGGGAGUACGGUCGCAAGAUU